AAAUUUAUGCCACCAGAUAAAGACUGAAUGCACCGAUUAUCACAUUAAACAAGAGGAAAACCUCCUAUGCACCAAUUCCACCCACGCUUUCUACAAUUUUGUAAACAACAAACUAAAAUACUCAAGGUGCAUCCCACCUUUGAAAGGACCUAAUGAGAAAACCAAAAAUAACCA
This is a non-coding RNA of Pseudonaja textilis, 174 nucleotides long. The record is from RefSeq and is a predicted model, not a curated record. Lineage: Eukaryota; Metazoa; Chordata; Lepidosauria; Squamata; Elapidae.